CUUUUUCUCAUGAAUUUUUCUUUUUACAACAAUUGAGCUCAAUGCCUUUCACUUGCUUUUUCCAUUUUGCCCCGUAUAACCCCAAACUUGAACCUUUUCAUCACAUACAAUUAAGCUCAUCCCAACUCAAGGUAAAGAUUUACAAGACAAGGGUUCACAUCCUGUUUUAGGCUAAGGUUCAAAAAUGGGUAAAAUAUUUUCAAGAACUUUGGGUGAAAAUUUGGCCAGAGAAGGAUUUUCAAAAAUGGCCUUGAUCAUAUGACAUUCACAUGCAAUUCAAUCGAUCAUCAAGAUUAAGGCAAUAUCAUCCAUGUUUUCCUGUGAACAUUGCAUACAUCAAUAAAAACUCUGGAGCUCAAAAUCUCACACACAUGCUUCCUCACACAAAAUUCAUUCAUAAACCAUGCCUAGCAUCAUGACCACAAUCAUAAAUUCAUCACCCAUCUAUUUCCUGGAUAUCAUCAUGCAUUACAACUCAAUUCUCAUCCACAUCCAAAAAUCAUCAAAUAGAUUCAUCAUGCACAUUCGUUAGUCCAACAUUUUCAGAAAAAGUAGUAUAGCCAAGAGCACACACCAAAAUUAAAAAUUCAACCUAUUCUAAGAAUUUAAAAUGCAAAAGUGUAAGAAGAAAUCUAGGUUGCCUCCUAGUAGCGCUUGUUUAACGUCACGAGCCUGACCCAAACCUGGUUGGCACUUGUCAGUAAGUGCACUACCUUCCACCACCCAUCAGUAGGUGUACCUUCCGGAUAUCCUUCAGUGGAUACCUAUAUCUUCUAACAUCCCCCAAUAGAUGCUAUCCCAGUAGCACUCAUCAGUAAAUGCUAAUCUUUCUAAUCUUCAUUGGCAUUCAUCAGUAAACGCCAUAUCACCUAACAUCCAUCAGUAGAUGUUAUCAUCACUGCCAUUAGAAGCAACACAUAACCCAAAAAAAAAUAAAAAAAUAAAAAAAAAACCAAAUAAAAUAAAAUAAAAUAAAAUAAAAAAAUUAAAUAAAAUAAAAUAAAAUAAAAUAAAAUAAUCAAAACGAAAUUGAAGAUAAAAAAUUCAGAAACUGGGUUGCCUCCCAGCAAGCGCUCCUUUAACGUCAUUAGCUUGACCCGGUAAAGCCCAAACACCCAUCAUUAGGUGUUGAAAUUUUAUGUUGGUGUUCGUCCUUCCUUCAUGACACCAACAACAUCUCGGAAAUUUCCUUUGUCACCAACUGUAAGAGCUCUGUUUGCUUUGAUAGUCUUGACAACCCAUAACCUAAUUUUGAAUUUCAUUGAUGUGNCAGGUUAGGGUUUGUCACUUUUCACAUCAGGGUGUUGGUGAACCAAUUCUCCUCCC
RNAcentral lists this long non-coding RNA (1326 nucleotides) under Vigna radiata. Its description in RNAcentral is "long non-coding RNA (VRAD_LNC011860)". Lineage: Eukaryota; Viridiplantae; Streptophyta; Magnoliopsida; Fabales; Fabaceae. The record is from RNAcentral.